GUGGCCUUCAGAUGAAGAUGUGGAACUCUCAUCUCCUCCUGCACCGUGCCUGCCUGGACACUGUCGUGCUCCUACCUUGAUAAUAAUGGACUGAAUCUCUGAAUCUAGAGAGGCAAUGAAGAAACGAGAAACCCGAAGACUAGUACAUCUGACUUUCGCAGUGAGCAAACAGCAGGUGGCCGGGCCAACUGAGAAAGGUGAGCAUCACCACAGUAUGUGUCCUCUGACCUGUUCAUCCGACUUCUGGGAAUCAGUCCUAAAGAAAUACCUCCAAAUAUGGGAAGGAUUAUGAGCAGAUAGGCUCCUGGCAGCAUUCCCCCUGACAGCAGAGGAGAGAGAGCUGUGGCUCCACCUGCCUGGCUGGCUGGUGUCCCGGAUGGGCGUGUCCAAGAAGCUCCAUUCAACCUAGGAGCAAGUUCAAAACUGUGUACCCGGUGAUGCGCUAUGGAAGCCGCUCACAUCAAAUACCAGGAUGAGCAUGCAGCUCCAGCUGCACGAGGGAGGCAUUAUGGGAAAUCUUUGUUUCCAUUUUCCCAAUUCUCUGCAAUGUGGUUCUGGUUAAAAGUAUAUUGUAAAUAAAGA
This is a long non-coding RNA of Rattus norvegicus (Norway rat), 582 nucleotides long. RefSeq lists it as uncharacterized. The record is from RefSeq and is a predicted model, not a curated record. NCBI's taxonomy places the organism in Eukaryota, Metazoa, Chordata, Mammalia, Rodentia, Muridae.